AACGCAUAUUGCGCCCUUUGGUAUUCCAAAGGGCAUGCCUGUUCGAGCGUCAUUAUCACCGUGUCAAGCUUGGCUUGUUGUUGGGCCCUGUCACCAGGUGACAGGUCCAAAAGAUAAUGACCGGCAUCGUACCGACUCUAUAUGCAACGAGCUGAUCACAGCACGCAUCUGGCAGUCUUACGGCCCGGUCUUGACCCCUUUAUUUCUCAAGGUUGACCUCGGAUCAGGUAGGAAUACCCGCUGAACUUAA
This 250-nucleotide unclassified non-coding RNA is filed under the name uncultured Chaetothyriales. Its description in RNAcentral is "sequence contains 5.8S rRNA gene, ITS2, 28S rRNA gene". The stretch from base 1 to 52 matches the Rfam family "5.8S ribosomal RNA", at positions 103 to 154 of the family's 154-position model. Lineage: Eukaryota; Fungi; Ascomycota; Eurotiomycetes; Chaetothyriales. The record is from RNAcentral.